UAGCAAAUUGAAAUUUUCCUGCUAUGAUCAUCUCCCAGGAUGCUUUCUGCUCCUCUCCAGUCGCUGUAGAACUAAACUGGUACGUUUUUAUGUGCAUUCACAUUUAGAAUGGAGGAGUACAUUCACUUGGAUUUAUCCCUUUUUCAUUAUGAAAUAUAUCUCUUUGUUUUUAGCAAUGUUUGUUCUAAAGUCUACUCUAUCUGAUAUUGCUAUGACUGCACUAGCUUUUCUUGGUUAGGGUUUGCAUGGUAUGUCUUUUCUCAUCCUUUCAUUUUUAACAACUCUGUGUUCUUACGCCCCAACUUGUGAGUCUUAAACAGGAUAUAGCUUGGUUUUGUCUUUAUACUCAGGCUGCCAAUCUUUGCUUCUUGGAGCAUUUACUCAUUUAUAUGUAAUGUAAUUACUGUUAUAUUGUGUUUAUUGUCCUCCAUUUUUUUUUCUGUUUCUACUUGACCCACUUGUUUCAUAUUCUUUGGCCUCUCCUGUCUUGACUUCUUUUAAAUCAAUCAGACUUUUCAUUAUUCUCAUUCUUUCCUUUAUUAAUUUAUUGUUAUUUGUUAUUUUAUUAUUCUUUUAGUUUUUACCCUAAAGAUUACAUCAUUUAUUGAUGUGUUAAUGUCUAAAAUAAGUUAUUGCCUUUCCACUUCUCUGAUUAUGCUCAAAAUCUGAGACAUUCUAAGUCCACUUAAAUGGGUAUAUUCCAUUAUACCCAUCUAAUGAGUUCUAAUCUUAAUGUAUUUUAAGUUUUUCUAAUUUCCAUUCAUUUCUUCUUUUGAUUAUAUAUAUAUAUUUGCUUCUUCUUUUGCAGUCUUGCUGUCAUAUAUUUUAAUUUUCCAUGUUUCAAAC
Molecule: long non-coding RNA, 846 nt
Filed under: Homo sapiens (human)
Lineage: Eukaryota; Metazoa; Chordata; Mammalia; Primates; Hominidae
Description: HSALNT0397272
Source: RNAcentral